CUUAGAAUAUCCUCUUACAGUAUUAAGUCUGUUGUGUAAGUUCAAUAGAGUAACUUUAACCCAUGCUAUUUACAAAACUAGUACUAUGCUAAAAUAACACAAAGUAUUAAAUAGAGUUUUCAAAGCAAGGCUUUGAAGUGGGCAUGCAUGAUUUCUUUCAUUUUAAUAGUAGUUUGCAUAAGUGUAGGCAGAGGCAUUUCCUAAGUCUUUUCCUAUAAGAUUCUUGUUUGCUUCACAGCACUAAAAUUCACACAUUCAUGAACAGGAAACCCAAGCAAGUAGAUUCUCUGUAAUAUUGGUAACUAGGUCACAUUGUUAAAUCAACACUGAAAGUUUCUGCAGUAUUCCUGAGGGAACAGAAUUCACUCUAUUGCAUUAAGAUAAUGGAGAGUUGUUUUUAGACUAUGGGAACAAAUUUAUGACUCUUCACAAAAAGAAACCUUUAGAGCCAUGGAAAUGUGUCUUCAGGCACAGGAUUCUUGUGCUUCUACAAACAGUCUAAAGGUUUCUGGAUGUAUCUGUGGAGUUUUAAAGACGUUGUAUCAAGAAAAACCUGCUGAGAGGCUAUACACCCUUCUGUUGUUUUAUUUAAAGGUCUACCUUCUUUGGUUGGCUGAUAAUGUCUCUUUGCUUCUUUUUUAUUUAUUUAUUUAUUUUUGUUUUUGUUUUGUGCAUCUAUCAACAUUUACAUAAAAAUUUGCUAUCAGCCAUGGAGGUAUUCCAGAAAGAGUCUCAACACACAAAAUCAAAUGAGCCAAGUUUGUAUGAUAUCUGAACUUUCAUAUAUGAAAGAUUGAAAUCAGUAGACUCAUAGGCAUAUAUUCUAUUUAGACCUCUUCUACAGAUGCAGAGCCUAAAACACAGUAGUGCUUUUUUAAUUUGUGAGGGCAUUCAUUAUAUCAUGCAAGAAUAGAAAGAUAUACAAAUGUAUCAGAACACAAGAAGAGGAUUGGCUGAAUAUCCAGGAUGAAUAUAAUCUUCAGUAAUGGAAAACAUUUAUUUGUCUUAUUUUGUCUCUGUUGAAAAAAACAGCUUCUCAUAUGCUAUGGGAACUAUUUGGCACUGUUUACUACUUGAAAGCAGUAAAUAAGUAGAAAUAGAAAAAGAAAACUUGACUUUCCAACAUUAUCAGAUCAAAAUAUUUAAAACUUAGAGAAUAUUGUCUUUAUUUGAAAACAAGUUCAAGUUUUAAUUAUAUAACUAUAUUGAGGUUAACCCCACAUAAAAGUAAUUCUACAAGGUCUGUUCUGUUUAAAUAGGAGAAUGAAUUCCUCAAUAAUGUUGGAAAAAUAUAAAUUAGCAAUUCUAUGUAUUGAAACACUCAUAUAAGGCUUUGAGUUCAAUGAAAAAAGGAGUAUGAAUGGUAAUGU
RNAcentral lists this long non-coding RNA (1370 nucleotides) under Marmota monax (woodchuck). Lineage: Eukaryota; Metazoa; Chordata; Mammalia; Rodentia; Sciuridae. The record is from RNAcentral.